Molecule: ribosomal RNA, 852 nt
Filed under: Macrococcus brunensis
Lineage: Bacteria; Bacillati; Bacillota; Bacilli; Caryophanales; Staphylococcaceae
Description: bacterial SSU rRNA
Rfam family: Bacterial small subunit ribosomal RNA
Source: RNAcentral
GCCUAAUACAUGCAAGUCGAGCGGACAGACGAGGUGCUUGCACCUCUGAAGUCAGCGGCGGACGGGUGAGUAACACGUGGGUAACCUACCUGUAAGACUGGGAUAACUUCGGGAAACCGGAGCUAAUACCGGAUAAUAUUUUCCACCUCAUGGUGGAAUAGUGAAAGACGGUUUCGGCUGUCACUUACAGAUGGACCCGCGGCGCAUUAGCUAGUUGGUGAGGUAACGGCUCACCAAGGCGACGAUGCGUAGCCGACCUGAGAGGGUGAUCGGCCACACUGGGACUGAGACACGGCCCAGACUCCUACGGGAGGCAGCAGUAGGGAAUCUUCCGCAAUGGACGAAAGUCUGACGGAGCAACGCCGCGUGAGUGAAGAAGGUUUUCGGAUCGUAAAACUCUGUUGUAAGGGAAGAACAAGUACGUUAGUAACUGAACGUACCUUGACGGUACCUUACCAGAAAGCCACGGCUAACUACGUGCCAGCAGCCGCGGUAAUACGUAGGUGGCAAGCGUUAUCCGGAAUUAUUGGGCGUAAAGCGCGCGUAGGCGGUUUCUUAAGUCUGAUGUGAAAGCCCCCGGCUCAACCGGGGAGGGUCAUUGGAAACUGGGAGACUUGAGUGCAGAAGAGGAGAGUGGAAUUCCAUGUGUAGCGGUGAAAUGCGCAGAGAUAUGGAGGAACACCAGUGGCGAAGGCGGCUCUCUGGUCUGUAACUGACGCUGAGGUGCGAAAGCGUGGGGAUCAAACAGGAUUAGAUACCCUGGUAGUCCACGCCGUAAACGAUGAGUGCUAAGUGUUGGGGGGUUUCCGCCCCUCAGUGCUGCAGCUAACGCAUUAAGCACUCCGCCUGGGG